Molecule: long non-coding RNA, 1070 nt
Filed under: Nannospalax galili (Upper Galilee mountains blind mole rat)
Lineage: Eukaryota; Metazoa; Chordata; Mammalia; Rodentia; Spalacidae
Description: lncRNA (ENSNGAG00000024441.1)
Source: RNAcentral
GUGUAUUUGGCUAUAACAGGGGAAAUGGGCAGCAGGCCCCAACCCUAAUCAAAAAACUAUUGGCAUCUGAUUACUGCUGGGUGAGGGAGAGUUUAUCUUCCUUAAGGAAGAAGCUCUAGAUAAGCUAAGUAGAGCCCAGUGAAUGAAGUUGCACCAAGGGACAUCUGAGUACACAAACUUGACUUGAUGGUCCUUAACAUAUGUGACAUAAUGCAUGAAAUCUAGUGGGAGGCUAUUUGGGGAUGUGAGAGGAUGUGUAAAUAUGAUUAAGAUGUUUUGUAUGAAGUGCAGAAAAAUUCGAUAAAUAAUAUACAUUGGAAAAAUAUAAAUUCUAAAGUAUCUCUCUGGACACAAUGUGAAAAACUGGCUGGAGGAUAGCGUGAGUGUCAUCAGGAGAUGUCUCUGUCUUGUUGUCUCCCUGCUGCAGAGCCCACCUAAGGAAGACCUCCAGAGAAUGAUGUAUGCCCAGGUAAAACCCUCCAGGCUCAGGAAGGCAGUGGCCACCGCUUCAUCCCCACUAUUUCAGGGAAAUAUUGGACAUGAAGAACAGUCAGGACAGGACAAAGAGACUUACCUGCAGGCUGCUGUAUUCAAGGAGUCCCAGGAUACGACCUAUGCCCAGCUGUGCAGUAUGACACUCAAACAGGAGACAAGCUAAGACCAGCGAUCACUCUGCUCUGGUGCCCACCAGCAAAGGGAGAAGACCCAGACUCCACAGUUCAUGAAGGAAGACACGGGGCCACCUGAGCACACAGGCUCUGCCCCAACUGAGAUCUGGCUAAUGAACCCCAGCCAUCUUGCAGACCUCUUGUGUCAUCAGGAGAUCUUUGAAACCGAUGACUCUUUUGAUUAUGCAAUCAGAGAUAACUAGUGUCCCUACAUUUUGUAAAUAAAGCAAAAAUCCUUUUCAAUAAUCAAUGAAUGAAAUGAGAAGAAAACUGAGACUGUUUUGAAUUGAACGAUAAUGUAACCAUGGUACACUAAACUAUGGAACUGGAAAAAUCAGAACCAUGAAUAAAUACAUAAGAAGAUGAAAUGCCUUCACAAUCAAUGGUCUUUUCUAUGGACAA